This 133-nucleotide ribosomal RNA is filed under the name uncultured marine bacterium. RNAcentral's name for it is "partial small subunit ribosomal RNA". It matches the Rfam family "Bacterial small subunit ribosomal RNA", at positions 357 to 481 of the family's 1533-position model. The record is from RNAcentral.
GGGGAAUUUGCACAAUGGGGGCAACCCUGAUCCAGCCAUGCCGCGUGAGUGAAGAAGGCCUUCGGGUUGUAAAGCUCUUUCGCUAGGGAAGAAACGAUAUURGUUAAUACGCUUAUGGUAAUGACGGUACCUU